CAAAUACAAAUUUUGAAGAUUCAAAAUGUGUUAUCAAUUUCGGAUUUUAAAUUGUUCCAAAAGUGUAUUUACAUGAACACCAAAUAACGACAGGGAGUAAAUUGAAUGCGAAUUGUUUGAAAGUAUUUGUGAAAAUUCUGUGAGAUUUUAAGUGAGGUAUGGUUUUGUUGAGGUUAUGUUUCUAAAAACAAACUGCAAGAUUUAAGUUUUUGUCUGGAAUGGCAACGUUCCAAAAUCGGGGAAGAAAUCCUUGCACCAGCUACAAAAGAGAGGGUAGAACUAAGCAAAACGUUUUUGAAUGUUUGCCUUCAUCUGGUGAAUACCAGGGCGGAUGUGAGGGGAAAAAAUUCAGAACAGAGGGUAGAGCUAACCAAGAUGUCUACGAGUGCUGCC
Long non-coding RNA from Macrosteles quadrilineatus (aster leafhopper), 393 nucleotides. RefSeq lists it as uncharacterized. Lineage: Eukaryota; Metazoa; Arthropoda; Insecta; Hemiptera; Cicadellidae. The transcript is spliced from 3 exons. The record is from RefSeq and is a predicted model, not a curated record.